Oryctolagus cuniculus (rabbit) is the source of this 2115-nucleotide long non-coding RNA. Lineage: Eukaryota; Metazoa; Chordata; Mammalia; Lagomorpha; Leporidae. The record is from Ensembl.
GCCCGCUCCACACCCUCCACCCAGGGAGCAGACCCAGAAUUCAGAUGCCCCCCGCCCCUCCCCUGCCUCCACUUCCGUCUCCCCGUCCUGGCCUCUGCCCCUUCCCUGGAACCCUCUCCCUCUCCCCUUGGCUGUGGACAAGCGACCCCCGCAGGAGCCUCCGGCCCCCACUGCCCAACAGCGCGUGUUCCCAGGCCGACCGGGUCUCCCAGAUCUCAGCGCCCCUGCACAGCACUGUCCCUGGGGGGAAACUGAGUCACCCCGGGCCUGCUCUCUGUCUCUCACCUUGGAUCUGCGCUGGGGCUGCCCUGUGUGCCCCCCAGCCUUGCUCCCCUGCUGGCUGCUCCUGUCCCUCUGACACCCCCUCCUCUCAGAGCGGACCCCCGGUCUCAGGCAGCAACCAGUCCUGGUGCCCGGGACAGAGCUGGCUCUGCCUGGGGGAUGGUGACUCCCCACGAAGUCACCGCUCCCCCACCUUCCUCCCUCCCAUCUAAACUGUGUUUGUCUCUUGUUUUUAAAGAUUUGUUUUAUUUGUUGGGAAGGCAGAGUUAGAAAGAGAGGGAGAAGGAGCAGCCAUCGGCUGCUUCACCCCAACAGCCGGGGCUGGGCCAGGCCAAAGCCAGGAGCCCGGAGCUGCAUCCUGGUCUCCCAGUGGGCGGCAGGGACCAGGCACUUGGGCCAUCUUUGGCUGCCUCUCCCGGUGCAGUAGCAGGGAGCUGGAUCGGAAGCAGCCUGGACUCGAAGCAGCGCGCACAUGGGACGCGGUGUCUCAGGGGGAGGCUUAGCCCACCACGCCCCUGCACCAGCCCCAUUUUCAUCCCAUUGUCCAUGAUUACUGAGCCACUGGUGCCGUGACGGCGCAAGGCUGCCGGGGCCCAGCCCGUGCUGGCCUCAUGCAGACUGCGUCCAUGCCCGGGCCGAGGGGCCGCUCUCCAGCCUGGGCCGCCAGGGCGUGGGGCGGCACGGGAUGCUGCUGCCCCGGCCACGCCCUGCAGGACAGCAGCCCUGGGCCCACUCAGCCUCCUGUGUGACCUGCUCUUCUGUUUCUUCAUGCGUUUGUCUUUCUUGUGUGGAGUGUGCUGUCGGAAGCUUUGCUCCUGACUCGCUUGUAAUUAUUUCGAAACGGCCAGGACGGCUCCCCUCCACUCUUCUCCCUGUAAGCAGGGAGGAAUCCAUGCUCGGUGCCACUGGACGCACACACACUGGUGGAGAGACCAGCUGGGCCACUUUCCUCCCGGCCCUCCCCACGGCAGCCCACACCCCCCAACGAAUGGCGGCUCCCGUGGGGCGGGUUUUAUCUGGCUCCUUGUGCUGUUGCCCACGUGUCUACGGCUGCUUUUUAUUUCUAAAACAAGAGAAUGCACAGCUCAGUGUGGCUAUGCACACGUCCCCAAGGUGCAGGGAACACACAGCUCAGCCUGGCCGUGCACACGUCCCCACGGUGCAGGGAACACAGAGGUCAGCCUGGCCGUGCACACGUCCCCACGGUGCAGGGAACACAGAGGUCAGCCUGGCCGUGCACACGUCCCCAUGGUGCAGGGAACGCACAGUGCACACGUCCCCACAGAGCAGAGAACACAGAGGUCAGCCUGGCCGUGCACACGUCCCCACGGUGCAGAGAACACAGAGGUCAGCCUGGCCGUGCACACGUCCCCAUGGUGCAGGGAACGCACAGUGCACACGUCCCCUCAGUGCAGGGAACGCACAGUGCACACGUCCCCACAGAGCAGAGAACACACAGGUCAGCCUGGCCGUGCACACGUCCCCAUGGUGCAGGGAACGCACAGUGCACACGUCCCCAUGGUGCAGGGAACACACAGUGCACAUGUCCCCAUGGUGCGCGGCCUCACCCUGUGUCCCACCAGCCGCGGGGGCCGGGGCCUGGCUUCCACGCUGCGUGUUUGCUGUUGUGCUUCUCCAUGGCGGAGCCGCAGCUGCGGCGUCCUGUGCGGAGGAGCCCGAGCUGACACGCUGCUCCGUGGGCUCGCAGAGCAGUGCGAGAGCCAAGGAACAGCGCGUCCCCGACGUGAGAGACGAGGUGAGAGCUCACAGGAGGCAGGGCGGCGGAUGUGCAGGGCUGGCUGCAACAGGACGGGGGGCCGCUCUGUCCCCCCC